ACGGAGGAUCCAAGCGUUAUCCGGAUUUAUUGGGUUUAAAGGGUGCGUAGGUGGAUUGAUAAGUCAGCGGUGAAAGUUUGCAGCUUAACUGUAAAAUUGCCGUUGAAACUGUCAGUCUUGAGUGCAAAUGAGGUAGGCGGAAUGUGUUGUGUAGCGGUGAAAUGCUUAGAUAUAACACAGAACUCCGAUUGCGAAGGCAGCUUACUGGGAUGCAACUGACACUGAGGCACGAAAGCGUGGGGAUCAAACAG
RNAcentral lists this ribosomal RNA (251 nucleotides) under uncultured prokaryote. RNAcentral's name for it is "partial 16S rRNA". It matches the Rfam family "Bacterial small subunit ribosomal RNA", at positions 525 to 775 of the family's 1533-position model. The record is from RNAcentral.